CAAAAGUGAAGUCAGUUUUUUUCCCCCCACGAAGAAAGGUUGCUUUAUUAGUUGUGCAAAUGAACGUGUUCGCUAAUUCCACAGAGGAAUAGGCGUGCUAGCCUACCUCAUGUCUUCGCAUAUAAACCGUAGGCCUAAGUGUUUACAUUUAGCGAAGAAUUUGACCACGAAAAGCCUGUGUUGGUUACAUUUUUCGUACUAAAUCAGUCAACAGAUUCAUCACCAGCUUUCCCAGUCACCCCAUUUCCCAGCCCAUCACAUCACCCAGCCCUACUCCCAGUACCAACUGAAGAAGUGAAAGUAGAUGAAAGGACAGAAAGCCGCAGACCUGUAAGAGAAGGUCAUCUCUGAUUUUGUUGAGAGAGGAGAGGUGCACUCUGGCUUCUAAAAUGGCCUCCAGGGUGUCCCAUUCCGUGGUCUCCUGGUGGUCGUGUUCCUGCUCCUCCCUCAAGCCUGCAGGACUCUGAGGGAUCUCUGGGAGUCCUCACUAAACUGAGAAGAGUGGCUGGCCCUGGAAAAGCUCGUUUGUUUUUAUUGUUUUUUAUGCAGAAUUUCUCAUGUUUUGAGCUCAUAAGCAGAUGUUUUUCAUCCAGAGUGCCUUGCAGUAACGGCUGAUUAACACCAGUAUUGAUACAAACAAAAAUGCAUUGUAGCACAAACUAAACAGAGUGUUUCUCUCUGUAAACCAAUAAUGCAGUAAAAGGCAUAUUAAUCCUCAGAUUAAAGCCUCCUUUGCUAUUG
Conger conger (European conger) is the source of this 741-nucleotide long non-coding RNA. RefSeq lists it as uncharacterized. The transcript is spliced from 2 exons. Lineage: Eukaryota; Metazoa; Chordata; Actinopteri; Anguilliformes; Congridae. The record is from RefSeq and is a predicted model, not a curated record.